GAUGAACGCUAGCGGCAGGCCUAACACAUGCAAGUCGAGGGGUAGAGUUCUUCGGGACUUGAGACCGGCGCACGGGUGCGUAACGCGUAUGCAAUCUACCUUAUACAGGGGAAUAGCCCAGAGAAAUUUGGAUUAAUGCCCCAUAGUGUUAUCGAAUCGCAUGGUUUGAUAACUAAAGUUCCAACGGUAUAAGAUGAGCAUGCGUCCCAUUAGUUAGUUGGUAAGGUAACGGCUUACCAAGACAAUGAUGGGUAGGGGUCCGUGAGAGGGAGAUCCCCCACCACUGGUACUGAGACACGGACCAGACUCCUACGGGAGGGCAGCAGUGAGGAAUAUUGGUCAAUGGGCGGCAAGACCUGAACCAGCCAUGCCGCGUGUGUGAAGAAGGUCUUC
Molecule: ribosomal RNA, 393 nt
Filed under: uncultured bacterium
Lineage: Bacteria
Description: bacterial SSU rRNA
Rfam family: Bacterial small subunit ribosomal RNA
Source: RNAcentral